Lynx canadensis (Canada lynx) is the source of this 108-nucleotide long non-coding RNA. RefSeq lists it as uncharacterized. The transcript is spliced from 3 exons. The record is from RefSeq and is a predicted model, not a curated record. NCBI's taxonomy places the organism in Eukaryota, Metazoa, Chordata, Mammalia, Carnivora, Felidae.
UGUGUGUAUCUAUAUAUUGGAGUAUUACUCGUUAAUCAAAAAGAAUGAAAUUUUUCCAUUUGCAACUACGUGGAUGGACCUGGAGGGUAUUAUGCUAAGUGAAAUUAG